AUGAUGCUAGGAAGGCAGCUGGUGCUCUACCAAUGCUGAAGGCCAGUUGUUAGGAAAUCUGUAUGUGAUGGCUCAAGAUUAAGUUGGCAAAGGCCUUACCAGAAAAGCACUGCUAUCUAAGAAAAAAAUCUCUACAGCACGGCUGAGAAAUUUACCAAUUGGAUCUCAGGCUCCAGCAUGCAACAUGCAACCAUUAAGAAAGGAGUAGACAAGAGUUAAGGACCACGAAGUUUGGAUGCUGGAGAACUGUGCCUGUGAAGGAGGAUGAAGAAUAAGAUGGAGGCAGAAGUGGCAAAGACAGCAGACUACAGAUGCAGUGUUUAGAAGAUGAGUGAAUUUGGUAUUGACCUGAAGAACUUUAGAAUCUGGGAGGUUGAAGACAGCAAGUAUUUAUGGCAACAGCCAAAUAUUAAGGAAUGAAGGAAGAAAAUGAUGAGAAGCAACUCAAAAAUCAUAGGAGAUUAGGGCCAUCUAUGGAGAAGGAACAAUCCUAUGCCUCUUAGUGUCUCCAGAGAGCAUCACUGCAUUGCAGUCUAGUAAGCAAAUUCAUGCUCAUAAUAAGAAUAAGAAUUAGUUACCUGUAAAAGUCUACUGCCUAAAGUACCCUUAUAAGGAAUGGGACAUUAUUGCAAUGAGACAUAUUUAGAACAGGAUUUUAGAGUUCCAGUUUAAGCCACAUAACAUGAAAAGUGUGGAGAUUAUCUCAAAUAUUCAAGGUGAGAUUGAGAACUACUGUAACGUGUAUCCGAUUUCAGUCUGAAAAGAUACUCUGUGAAUUUCAUUUAUCUGUGAUACCUUCAAAUCUGGAUGAAAAUGAGAUCUGGAGGUUCUUGAUUAUGUGUGGAUUCAUCCCAUUUAUGCUAGUGCAUUAAUUAUUAUGAAUUAUAAAGAGCAUCAAUACAGUAAGAUCAAUAUGAAAUAACAAAAGUUAAAGUUCUUUCUCUUCCUCCCUAUGUAGUGUACUUGACUUGCUGAAUGAGGGCAGCCAGCAUAAUCCAAGCUUUGGGAGUUAUGUCUCUUAAGUAGCAGGUACUCUACUUUCUCAAGAAGUUUUGGUCAUGGGCUUUAAUGAGUCCCUCCUGAACUGACCCUACCUUUGCCAUCAGCUCAGUCUCUGCAGAGUUAGAGUCCUGUUUGUAAAAUGUUAGUGAUUACAAUUCAUCCUUCAGAAGCAUUUUAUAGGGUACAUAAAACCCAUUACAGAACCCAAGCGCUAAUUAAUGAUACCACGCAGCAUGUGCUUGCUCUUCCCUCUAACAUUACCUGAUCAGCCACAGCGCGAGCUAAUUUGUCCAUUCGAGAACCUGCUUCAGCGAUUUUCUUGGCAGCAUUAAUAACAUCAGAUGUAUUUUUCAAUGGGCCUUUGCCUCUGAAACAACAUAUAUAACAUAAUUAGAAAUUCACUUUUGAGAAGAAACAAACAAACCUACCAUAUUGUUUGUCCAGGACUUUGCUUUUAUAUUUGAUUUUAUUCUGGCCACAUAAGAGGAAUUUUGAACAUUUUCUGGAUUCACUUCAUUUUCCAUGUUAAUAGUGCACUUUACUUCCAUUCACUUUUAAGGAAUAUUUUUCCCUAUUUUGAUGUGCAUGCUCAUAUUUUAUU
This is a non-coding RNA of Leptonychotes weddellii (Weddell seal), 1603 nucleotides long. The record is from RefSeq and is a predicted model, not a curated record. NCBI's taxonomy places the organism in Eukaryota, Metazoa, Chordata, Mammalia, Carnivora, Phocidae.